UGGGGAAUCUUGGACAAUGGGCGCAAGCCUGAUCCAGCCAUGCCGCGUGAGUGACGAAGGUCUUCGGAUUGUAAAGCUCUUUUUGGCGGGGACGAUAAUGACGGUACCCGCAGAAUAAGCCCCGGCUAACUUCGUGCCAGCAGCCGCGGUAAUACGAAGGGGGCUAGCGUUGUUCGGAAUUACUGGGCGUAAAGCGCACGUAGGCGGAUUUGUAAGUCAGGGGUGAAAUCCCGGGGCUCAACCUCGGAACUGCCCUUGAUACUGCAAAUCUCGAGUCCGAUAGAGGUGAGUGGAAUUCCUAGUGUAGAGGUGAAAUUCGUAGAUAUUAGGAAGAACACCAGUGGCGAAGGCGGCUCACUGGAUCGGUACUGACGCUGAGGUGCGAAAGCGUGGGGAGCAAACAGGAUUAGAUACCCCCGUAGUCCCUGAGCGGGCUGGCAAGGCGCAU
RNAcentral lists this ribosomal RNA (448 nucleotides) under uncultured bacterium. Its description in RNAcentral is "bacterial SSU rRNA". It matches the Rfam family "Bacterial small subunit ribosomal RNA", at positions 355 to 825 of the family's 1533-position model. The record is from RNAcentral.